AAUUUUGUAAAGUUGUUUAGGACAUGUGUUAAUCCCUCAACAACGAAGGAUAACACGCGUCACCGAUCUCUUUCAACUUCACCGUCCCGAGAUUAUGCCGGAAACUGAUCGGCGCCACACAAGAGACAAGCACUGCUUCACAUACCUCCAACGCCGGAUUUUCUUCCCACAGAGAGCAUCCCUCAACCAAAUUAAGAUCUCGUCCGGAUCACCAAACUAUCCAUACAGAAAUGGAUCCCCAAAACACAACCUCCGCCUUCAUCACCAUAGCAUAGCCAUCGGAGAGCUUCAUCGACUGCCGAGAUCUCAUCCAAUCGGACCGAACUGUCAAACUGAAGACAAGAGAAACACCCCAUCA
Molecule: long non-coding RNA, 358 nt
Filed under: Brassica napus (rape)
Lineage: Eukaryota; Viridiplantae; Streptophyta; Magnoliopsida; Brassicales; Brassicaceae
Description: long non-coding RNA (BNAP_LNC014977)
Source: RNAcentral